Molecule: long non-coding RNA, 3965 nt
Organism: Chelonia mydas (Green sea turtle)
Lineage: Eukaryota; Metazoa; Chordata; Testudines; Cheloniidae
Exons: 3
Source: RefSeq, a predicted model, not a curated record
CUGGGCCAGUGGGGCCAGCGCAGGACGCUGUCGGCUGCCCACGUUGGCCUCGGGUUCCUUACCUGACUGAGAGCUUCCUCCAAGGGGAAAGUGAGGCGUGGAUUGCGUUGACCUGCUAUUCCAGAGCGUGAAACAUCAGACCAGCAGCAGCCUGUGUUUUGUGAUAACUCUGCAGUAUGUUGGUGCCCAGCCCCUUCAGCUGCGUGUUACAGGCUCCGGUACACAACCAGUGUCGGGACCUCUUGCCGCACAGGAGAGCGGAGCCAGCUGGCACGUGUGAUCAACCAGUGAAUUUUAUACCCUGGCUCUGAUGGGAACUGUUAGCUCUGGUGGUUCUUUUGCUUUGAUGGUGACUUGUGGCCCAGUGGGAGGGGUGGCUGGGUGGACUUUAACCGUGCAGCUGCUCUGCCUAUCAUAAUGUCCUAGAUGGGAGAAGUGAUUUUGGGGUGGGGGGUCUGGCUGUGCCUUUUCCUUAUCUUGCAUUUGGGGAUGGGAGAGCCUGCUGUGAUCUGACCUGUUAUCAGAUCGUUAUAGUCGAAGAAAGAGAAUCCUCUGGAUGCUCGAGGAAUCGGUUUAUUCCUUAAACCUAUCCCAGCAUUGCUGAAAGCGUGGCUCUAGGGAAAGUUUGUCUGGGACCUAUUAAGAAUGCAGUAUGUAGCACUCUCCCUAGUGAGUGCAGCUGUGUCCCCUAGUGCUGGUCCUGGAACUGCACUGACCUCUGAGGCCUGGCUGUCAACCCAGCCCCGUUGGCAGGCUCAGGGGCUUUGCAAGCUGAAGUUGCUUUCUCUUCCCAUUGAAAGCAAGGGCUGUCACUAUGUCUGCAGCCCUGGAGCUGGCUUUGCCCACCCAGCCUGGCUCCAUAGGAGCUGGAGCAGAGCCUGUUUAUCUUGGAGCUUUAUAAGGUAGCAAUACCAAAAUCCUAGAGGCUUUUCAUAGCAGCUUGUGAGAGUUCCUUAAGCCAUGGCUCUCUCCCAGGACUCGAGCAGGGCCCAGCAGCCUAGGACAGGGAGGCGUGGAGGAAUCAUUAACAAAAUGCAGAAGUUGUCGCCCAUCUCACAAACUGCAUUGAUGCAUCAUUCCCAUCCAACAAACGGGCCAACUGCAAAGUGUCUGAGGGGUUCUGCCUGUGCUCUCCCUCCUGCGCUGGGCCUUAUUUAAUGGUUGUGUGUGCUGGGAGAGAUGGUUCUGGUGUGUGAGGCCACAGAUUACUGCCCUUGCAGUGUAUUGCAGGACAGACUGAGUUCUCUGUGGAAUGGGUGAAACUAGUUAAGUUUCAACAGAAGAAAUACCAGAGACUUAAAAUCCUGCAGCUUUAAAGCCCCGCUGCCCUGCAGGGUGAAUUCAAUUAAAGAACACGUUGUUCCUGGAAAGUAGCUCUUCUCUUCCACAAAGGGCAGGUGAAACUCUAAGCCACCGGGACUGUGAUUUAUCUCCUCCCAGCAUUCUUCGCUUCUUGUCACGAUGUGCGGUGAUGCUGCGUGCUGCUGAGCAGUGGCGGUGUUCCACCCCAGAGAUGGGUGAAUGUUCCCUGGGUAGGGAAACUACUUUCAUUACCCAUAUAUGCAGAUCAUAAGAACAAAAACUGAAAUACAUGUGAACCUCUCGGAAUCUGCUGCAUGCCUAUAACUUCUUUCAUGCGGAAGGAUCUCUGAGUGCUUCCAAUGAUCACGUGCAUGCAGGUGCUAGGGUGACCGGUCGCUGCUGAAGUGCAGCUUCCUCUGGGGUGGAACAAGCUGUACUUAAUUGUACCAGCAGUUUAGGACAGGAAGUGGAGGUGGCCAUAUCCGAUCACCACUGCAGGGAGGAUUAGUCAGCAGAUUGUGAGACUGAGUGUAAACUAGAUUUAGUCCUGGGCAAACAUCAUGAUUCUGGCUAAUGUGCCUGUGAGUCUUUACAGACCACAUGUGGCCAGUAGUGGUAGCGGCUGCUCGCUCUGAGGGGCAGCACAGGCCCUUUAGGGCUGCGCCACGGCACUGGUUGGAGUGCCGCUCUCUGGAAGUGUUGCCUAGUGAGUUGCCAAACAUCAUCCCUGCUGAUGCCGAUGGAGUGCUUUGCUGGUGCCCUGUGAAGCCCCUUGGUAAGAAUGAUGCCCCAAACCAACUGGAGGGCUGGGGAUUCCCCUGCUGUCAUGUACGGGGGGGAGAAGGGAUAGCUCAGUGGUUUGAGCAUUGGCCUGCUAAACCCAGGGUUGUGAGUUCAAUCCUUGAGGGGGCCAUUUAGGGAUCUGGGGCAACUCAGAGAUUGGCCCUGCUUUGAGCAGGGGGUUGGACUAGAUGACCUCCUGAGGUCCCUUCCAACCCUGAUAGUCUUAAAAAAAAAAAAAUUCUAAAGGGCUCCCGAAGCCACCUGUUCGUCUGCCUCUGGCAUGGGUGCUCUCAAAGCACGAACUGGAGGGAGGAGACACCUGCUCCUCUCAGGUCUCCACGCAGCCCUGAGCUGUUCACUCUCUCGGACCUGAAUACUCAUCGAGAGCCAGGUCCUAACCCCUCUGGGGAGUGCCCCUGGUCUCAGCCUGUUUGCCCUGUGGGGUGGCUGAGAAGGGUUUGAUCCUCCUCUGCCCAGUGUGCACGUUUCUGGGUGGGGGCUUACUGCCAGCCAUGGAGGGAGAGGAAAAUUAUUGGCAGAUCGCUGCAGGAUCAGAGCCCAGGACGCACAAAAGACAGAGCCCAUGUCUAAUCCUUGGCCCUUCUUUACCCCCUGCCAUCUAAGCCAAUCCAAAACCCUGGAUUUGAGGGUGAGGUGAGGCUGGCCCUGUUUUCCAGGUCAGGGAAACUGAGGCACAGAGAGGGGCAGUGACUUUCCCCCGAUCAAGGAGCUGCCAACUCUGGUCCCUGGGCUCUAGGCACUAAAGCAGCCGUCCACUCCCCAGGAGUGCAGGCACAGCCAGGCCCAGGCUUCCAGCCGCACCAAGCGGGAGCUGGGUGGGGACUUCGUUUUAAAUGACAUAGUCACGCGUUUGUGUCUGUGGGUGAACAGACCUAAAACCCAGUGGCUGGCGGCUGCUGUCUGUAGCACUGGCUUGGGAGCAGGCCGUGGGCUGAUGAUACCAUCUUGCCGCCAUGGAGCUCUGCCAUGCACGGUGCUGCCAAGCCCUGCUCCCCACGCUGCCGCCCCCUAGCCAGCACUGUCGCUCGAGCUGAAGCCAGGAGGGCUGAGCCCUCUGCUCUGGGAAAGCCCUGAGAGCGCAGCCAGCGGGAAGGCAUGGGAGACUCUGCCCAGGUCUAGAGCACGGCCCAGGGGUCUGUCUGCCUGCAUGGUGCUGGCUGCGUCGGCCGGGUGCUCUGAGCAGCCAAGAUAAAAGGUGGGGCGGGGGGUGUGGGGGAGUCUGGCUGGAUGCCCUGGUAAAAACAAACUGCUCCGUGGGGUUUCUAGGCUGGCUGUCCCUGAAGCAGGCUGCCGGCCAGUGAGGGGCGAGAUGUCUGGGAGCUGCUGAUGUGGGGUUUUAACAGGAUCCAGUUCACCUCCAGGCUGGGCGGGAGCUAAAGCUGGCCCAGAUGAAGGCAGCAUCCCCUGGGCCCGGUGACUCUGGGCCCCCCUUCCCAGAGGGGCUCAUGCCUAGGCCCCACUAGUGAUGCUCUUGGCAGAUGGGGGGCUGAGGCUCUGGCACUAGCUGGGUGGAGGGCAGGCCCCCAAGGGACAACGUCCUGGGCAGGGAAAAGGAGACCGGCUUGGGUCUGCCCCAGGGUCUGUGUGUGUGCGUCCCCCGCCCCUGAGCAAAGGUUGGGACGGGGGUGCUGCCCUCACAUCGGAGAGCCGGGCUCUGGGAGCGCCCCAGAGGUCCUGGAGGAUCUGGUUCUAGGGCCCUCCCAGUCCGGGGCACCUCUGCCGAGGCUGGGAUGGCGGAGGGACCCCCAAGUCCCAGGGGGGUCAGACGGGAGGGGCCCUUGGGUAACCACCCCUCUCCUCUGUAUCUGCCCAUCCUGAAGCACUGGCAGGCAGGACACUCCCGUGCUCUGGCAUGCAGG